RNAcentral lists this transfer RNA (73 nucleotides) under Trichonephila inaurata madagascariensis. It matches the Rfam family "tRNA". Rfam says of the family: Transfer RNA (tRNA) molecules are approximately 80 nucleotides in length. Their secondary structure includes four short double-helical elements and three loops (D, anti-codon, and T loops). Further hydrogen bonds mediate the characteristic L-shaped molecular structure. tRNAs have two regions of fundamental functional importance: the anti-codon, which is responsible for specific mRNA codon recognition, and the 3' end, to which the tRNAs corresponding amino acid is attached (by aminoacyl-tRNA synthetases). tRNAs cope with the degeneracy of the genetic code in two manners: having more than one tRNA (with a specific anti-codon) for a particular amino acid; and 'wobble' base-pairing, i.e. permitting non-standard base-pairing at the 3rd anti-codon position. Lineage: Eukaryota; Metazoa; Arthropoda; Arachnida; Araneae; Nephilidae. The record is from Rfam by way of RNAcentral.
GUCCCUGCAGCACAAUGGAUAGUGUGUUGAACUUCUAAUCCAAAGAUCGUGGGUUCGAAUCCCACCUGGGAUG